UGGUUCACACAAAAAUUGAGUUUUAUUACAUUGUUUAACUAAAGAUGGAAAUAAAGACUCUAAUAUAGAAAAAGAGUGAUGUCCCAAACGUCGAUGCCAUUGAUGGAGAGAAGUCAGGCUGGUGUCAGAAGUAGAGUGAAGACCCUGAGGAGAGAACAUGUUAGACGAGGGAACAUCUAAAUAAUAAAGACCACCGACUGCACUACCACUGUCAAUCUUUUGCCACGUCACCAAGUCCUGAAAAACAUAAUGAGUUCGGAAAAAAGUUACUGAGCAGUGUAAGGAUUCAGAAAGAUGUUGGAUACAUAAUAAAUUUGCAGUAAAUGAAGGAAUAUGAAGAACAUAUGAUAAUGUCAAUGAAGGAGUACAAACUACAGAACCACUCCCAGAGAUAGAAGAAAAGGAAUCAUCAACUAAUCGAACCAUGUCUUUUCCAAAACAAGGCGUAUUUGAAGUAAAGAGGGUGAAGGACCCAGUCAUAUGCUCGGAGGUACCUGUGUCAAUGAUUCAACUAGGACAAGUUGAUGAAACAUUAAAAGCACAAGACUAUAUACCUGACUGGGCAUAAUGGGAAGUAGAUUUGGAAUAGAAUUUUCAAAAAGCUGAGAUAUCCUCAGGAGCGAGUGCAGUAUUAGUGUCUG
This 641-nucleotide long non-coding RNA is filed under the name Panax ginseng (ginseng). RNAcentral describes it as "long non-coding RNA (PGIN_LNC010240)". Lineage: Eukaryota; Viridiplantae; Streptophyta; Magnoliopsida; Apiales; Araliaceae. The record is from RNAcentral.